Molecule: transfer RNA, 72 nt
Filed under: Dactylosporangium sp.
Lineage: Bacteria; Bacillati; Actinomycetota; Actinomycetes; Micromonosporales; Micromonosporaceae
Description: tRNA-Gln
Rfam family: tRNA
About the family: Transfer RNA (tRNA) molecules are approximately 80 nucleotides in length. Their secondary structure includes four short double-helical elements and three loops (D, anti-codon, and T loops).
Source: RNAcentral
UCGGCUGUGGUGUAAUCGGCAACACCUGCGACUUUGGAUCGCAAGUUUCAGGUUCGAGUCCUGGCAGCCGAG